GGAAGCGUAGCUCAAUUGGUAGAGCAAUGGACUCUUAAUCCAUAGGUUGAGGGUUCGAUUCCCCCCGCUUUCA
Molecule: transfer RNA, 73 nt
Filed under: Archangium sp.
Lineage: Bacteria; Pseudomonadati; Myxococcota; Myxococcia; Myxococcales; Archangiaceae
Description: tRNA-Lys
Rfam family: tRNA
About the family: Transfer RNA (tRNA) molecules are approximately 80 nucleotides in length.
Source: RNAcentral